AUGAAGGUCAAAACGAAGAUCAGCAAAGCUGCCGAGUUCUUGAGGAAGGCGGUGCGGGCGCUGAGGGGCAGGGCUGGCGUCCUCAGGGCGCGGCUCCUCUUCCUCGCCUCGUUCCGCCACAGGACGGCGAUGGUCGGCACCGUGUCGCGCCACCUCCGCGCCCUCCUGCCGGGCCGCCAGAGAGACCCGGUGCACGACCACCGCAAGAUGGCGGCGGAGGAGGACGGGCAGGCCGCGAUGCAUGGAGUCGACGUCCCAGGCCUCUCCGAGCUGUUGCAAGAAGUGGUCGGCGACGACGAUGACGGCCACUACGGCUACCCAGACUGGACGCACUCACUGUUCGACGACAACGAUGACGACUGCAGCCUCCAGGAGGACGAGCCGUCGGUGAUGGACGUCAUCAGGAGGUGCAGGGAAGGGGACGGAAAGGAGUUCAACAUCAAGGAGGAGAUCGACCACGCCGCUGACAUGUUCAUACGGCGGGUCCGCAGCCGAAUGAACAACCGGAGCUUCUAG
RNAcentral lists this ribosomal RNA (516 nucleotides) under Triticum aestivum (bread wheat). Its description in RNAcentral is "partial small subunit ribosomal RNA". Lineage: Eukaryota; Viridiplantae; Streptophyta; Magnoliopsida; Poales; Poaceae. The record is from RNAcentral.